GUUCAGAAUGGUGGUGUCAAAGACUGUGCUGCUAAGAAGUGCUUACCACGUCAAAUGCCAAAACCAACUAUUCCUUCUGAUAAGAAGUGCUUACCACCUCAAAUGCCAAAACCAACUAUUCCUUCUGAUAAGAAAUGCUUACCACCUCAAAUGCCAAAACCAACUAUUCCUUCUGACAAGAAGUGCUUACCACCUCAAAUGCCAAAACCAACUAUUCCUUCUGAUAAAAAGUGCUUACUACGCUGUGAAAUUUGUCAUGUUACGAUUUCUCCCAAUUGUGUUGAACAGCAUA
RNAcentral lists this long non-coding RNA (292 nucleotides) under Trifolium pratense (red clover). RNAcentral's name for it is "long non-coding RNA (TPRA_LNC003712)". The record is from RNAcentral. Lineage: Eukaryota; Viridiplantae; Streptophyta; Magnoliopsida; Fabales; Fabaceae.